GAUGAACGCUGGCGGCGUGCCUAAUACAUGCCAGUCGAGCGAACAGACGAGGAGCUUGCUCCUCUGACGUUAGCGGCGGACGGGUGAGUAACACGUGGAUAACCUACCUAUAAGACUGGGAUAACUUCGGGAAACCGGAGCUAAUACCGGAUAAUAUAUUGAACCGCAUGGUUCAAUAGUGAAAGACGGUUUUGCUGUCACUUAUAGAUGGAUCCGCGCCGCAUUAGCUAGUUGGUAAGGUAACGGCUUACCAAGGCGACGAUGCGUAGCCGACCUGAGAGGGUGAUCGGCCACACUGGAACUGAGACACGGUCCAGACUCCUACGGGAGGCAGCAGUAGGGAAUAUUCGGCAAUGGGCGAAAGCUUGACGGAGCCACGCCGCGUGAGUGAUGAAGGUCUUCGGAUCGUAAAACUCUGUUAUUAGGGAAGAACAAAUGUGUAAGUAACUAUGCACGUCUUGACGGUACCUACUCAGAAAGCCACGGCUAACUACGUG
Molecule: ribosomal RNA, 497 nt
Filed under: uncultured bacterium
Lineage: Bacteria
Description: partial 16S ribosomal RNA
Rfam family: Bacterial small subunit ribosomal RNA
Source: RNAcentral